UGGUCGUAGUCGAGAAGCACGUAUUUGGAGAUUUAUACUGUAGAUCUGCAUAUAAAGAAUGAAAGAACUUGUCAGAUCGACUCUAGUUGGGCCCUCCAUUUUCUAUGUUAGGUCGGGCUUCCGAAUAAUAAUAAAGAGAAUAAUAGGUGGUUAGAGUCGUAUUACCCUGUUUCAAUUAAUUUGCAUCUUAAUCGGCUCUCUCAGGUUGGCGUUCUCAAGUUAAUCUUUUUAUUUUGGCCUUUAGGAGUUGAGCUUU
This 256-nucleotide long non-coding RNA is filed under the name Elaeis guineensis (African oil palm). Its description in RNAcentral is "long non-coding RNA (EGUI_LNC010790)". Lineage: Eukaryota; Viridiplantae; Streptophyta; Magnoliopsida; Arecales; Arecaceae. The record is from RNAcentral.